Molecule: ribosomal RNA, 1270 nt
Filed under: Microbacterium sp.
Lineage: Bacteria; Bacillati; Actinomycetota; Actinomycetes; Micrococcales; Microbacteriaceae
Description: bacterial SSU rRNA
Rfam family: Bacterial small subunit ribosomal RNA
Source: RNAcentral
ACGGAGCUUGCUCUGUGGGAUCAGUGGCGAACGGGUGAGUAACACGUGAGCAACCUGCCCCUGACUCUGGGAUAAGCGCUGGAAACGGCGUCUAAUACUGGAUAUGUGACGUGACCGCAUGGUCUGCGUUUGGAAAGAUUUUUCGGUUGGGGAUGGGCUCGCGGCCUAUCAGCUUGUUGGUGAGGUAAUGGCUCACCAAGGCGUCGACGGGUAGCCGGCCUGAGAGGGUGACCGGCCACACUGGGACUGAGACACGGCCCAGACUCCUACGGGAGGCAGCAGUGGGGAAUAUUGCACAAUGGGCGGAAGCCUGAUGCAGCAACGCCGCGUGAGGGAUGACGGCCUUCGGGUUGUAAACCUCUUUUAGCAGGGAAGAAGCGAAAGUGACGGUACCUGCAGAAAAAGCGCCGGCUAACUACGUGCCAGCAGCCGCGGUAAUACGUAGGGCGCAAGCGUUAUCCGGAAUUAUUGGGCGUAAAGAGCUCGUAGGCGGUUUGUCGCGUCUGCUGUGAAAUCCCGAGGCUCAACCUCGGGCCUGCAGUGGGUACGGGCAGACUAGAGUGCGGUAGGGGAGAUUGGAAUUCCUGGUGUAGCGGUGGAAUGCGCAGAUAUCAGGAGGAACACCGAUGGCGAAGGCAGAUCUCUGGGCCGUAACUGACGCUGAGGAGCGAAAGGGUGGGGGAGCAAACAGGCUUAGAUACCCUGGUAGUCCACCCCGUAAACGUUGGGGAACUAGUUGUGGGGUCCAUUUCCACGGAUUCCGUGACGCAGCUAACGCAUUAAGUUCCCCGCCUGGGGAGUACGGCCGCAAGGCUAAAACUCAAAGGAAUUGACGGGGACCCGCACAAGCGGCGGAGCAUGCGGAUUAAUUCGAUGCAACGCGAAGAACCUUACCAAGGCUUGACAUAUACGAGAACGGGCCAGAAAUGGUCAACUCUUUGGACACUCGUAAACAGGUGGUGCAUGGUUGUCGUCAGCUCGUGUCGUGAGAUGUUGGGUUAAGUCCCGCAACGAGCGCAACCCUCGUUCUAUGUUGCCAGCACGUAAUGGUGGGAACUCAUGGGAUACUGCCGGGGUCAACUCGGAGGAAGGUGGGGAUGACGUCAAAUCAUCAUGCCCCUUAUGUCUUGGGCUUCACGCAUGCUACAAUGGCCGGUACAAAGGGCUGCAAUACCGUGAGGUGGAGCGAAUCCCAAAAAGCCGGUCCCAGUUCGGAUUGAGGUCUGCAACUCGACCUCAUGAAGUCGGAGUCGCUAGUAAUCGCAGAUCA